CUCUUAGAUGUCCGGGGCUGCACGCGCGCUACACUGGAGAAAUCAGCAUGCCUUCAUACCUGGCCCGAAAGGGUCGGGUAACCCGCUGAAACUUCUCCGUGAUUGGGAUAGGGAAUUGCAAUUAUUUCCCUUGAACGAGGAAUUCCUAGUAAGCACGGGUCAUAAGCUCGUACUGAUUACGUCCCUGCCCUUUGUACACACCGCCCGUCGCUACUACCGAUUGAAUGGUCCGGUGAAUCUUUAGGACUGUGGCUGAGGCCUUGCCUUGUGCGGGUCUGGCCGUGGGAAUUUAGUUAAACCUUACCAUUUAGAGGAAGGUGAANUCGUANCA
This 331-nucleotide ribosomal RNA is filed under the name uncultured eukaryote. RNAcentral describes it as "partial 18S ribosomal RNA". It matches the Rfam family "Eukaryotic small subunit ribosomal RNA", at positions 1470 to 1796 of the family's 1831-position model. The record is from RNAcentral.